Pantherophis guttatus is the source of this 792-nucleotide non-coding RNA. NCBI's taxonomy places the organism in Eukaryota, Metazoa, Chordata, Lepidosauria, Squamata, Colubridae. The record is from the annotation of a RefSeq genome assembly.
AGACAAGAUUCUGCUGAGAUGCCCUAUUGCCACAAAUGAGCUUCCUUUUGUUGUUUGCUCUCUUGUCCUUGACGGUUACACCUUAUAUUAAUAUAGACACAGUUGACCCAGUCAGAGAAGACUCUAUUGCCACAAAUGAGCUUCCUUUUGGUUUUUGCUCUCUUGUCCUUAUCAGCUGCUGCUAUUGUUCAGCCGCCAGAUGUGAUCGUGAUGGAAGGGGAUGCAACCACACUGACUUGUUCUCAGGUUCAAACCAGCCAUACAUUUAUGUCCUGGUACAAGCAAGAGAAGAGGAGGGAAGCCCAUUCCCAGUUCCAGCUGGUGGCUUUUACAUCUAAAGGCUCUCCAGGAGACUCUGCCAUUGAGGAAGCCUUUAAAAAACGCUUCAAGACCACAGGGAUGAAGUCACUUGCCUUGCCUCUGUCUCUGGAGAAUGCCCAGCUGGACGACACAGGCACCUACUACUGUGCUUCACAAGAUUACACAGCCAAACAAAUGCUAAGGAAGCCAAACCAAAACCUUUUCACAGGACAACCCCCCCCCUCCACCCCGGUGGCAGAUCCUUUCCAAUAACUGACACAGGGGGGAAGCCAUGAGCUAUUCAUUAUAUUAUAGAAACAGUACUCACUAAGAUGAGCUAGAGCAGAGAUACUUUAACAGGUGCAUGGGCAUACAAGGAUGUUUGAGAGAUUUUUUUUUUAAAAAAAUAUUGCAGUAAGCAAAUGUUGAACUGACAUUUAUUAUAUCUUUCUGAUGCCACUUUCCUUCCCAAACUAUACUGUUUUGAACCAC